This 253-nucleotide ribosomal RNA is filed under the name uncultured bacterium. RNAcentral's name for it is "partial 16S ribosomal RNA". It matches the Rfam family "Bacterial small subunit ribosomal RNA", at positions 524 to 776 of the family's 1533-position model. The record is from RNAcentral.
GACGAACCGUGCGAACGUUAUUCGGAAUCACUGGGCUUAAAGGGUGCGUAGGCGGCGCGGUAAGUCGGGUGUGAAAUCUCGGAGCUUAACUCCGAAACUGCAUUCGAUACUGCCGUGCUUGAGGACUGGAGAGGAGACUGGAAUUUACGGUGUAGCAGUGAAAUGCGUAGAGAUCGUAAGGAAGACCAGUGGCGAAGGCGGGUCUCUGGACAGUUCCUGACACUGAGGCACGAAGGCCAGGGGAGCAAACGGG